CCUACGGGAGGCUGCAGUGGGGAAUAUUGCACAAUGGGGGGAACCCUGAUGCAGCGACGCCGCGUGAGUGAAGAAGGAUUUCGGUACGUAAAGCUCUAUCAGCAGGGAAGAAAAAAGGACGGUACCUGAGAAAGAAGCCACGGCUAACUACGUGCCAGCAGCCGCGGUAAUACGUAGGGGGCAAGGGGUAUCCGGAAUUACUGGGUGGAAAGGGAGCGUAGACGGCAAUGCAAGUCCGGAGUGGAAUGCGGCCGCUCAACUGCCGAACUGCUCUGGAAACUGUAUGGCUGGAGUGCAGGAGCGGUAAGCGGAAUUCCUGGUGUAGCGGUGAACUGCGUAGAUAUCAGGAGGAACACCGGUGGCGACGGCGGCUUACUGGACUGUAACUGACGUUGAGGCUCGAAAGCGUGGGGAGCAAACAGGAUUAGAUACCCCUGUAGUC
Molecule: ribosomal RNA, 442 nt
Filed under: uncultured bacterium
Lineage: Bacteria
Description: partial 16S ribosomal RNA
Rfam family: Bacterial small subunit ribosomal RNA
Source: RNAcentral